RNAcentral lists this microRNA (22 nucleotides) under Ornithorhynchus anatinus (platypus). RNAcentral describes it as "oan-miR-7421-3p". Lineage: Eukaryota; Metazoa; Chordata; Mammalia; Monotremata; Ornithorhynchidae. The record is from miRBase by way of RNAcentral.
UUAUAUAGGGACUAGACACAAG